Molecule: ribosomal RNA, 477 nt
Filed under: uncultured bacterium
Lineage: Bacteria
Description: partial 16S ribosomal RNA
Rfam family: Bacterial small subunit ribosomal RNA
Source: RNAcentral
AUUGAACGCUGGCGGCAUGCCUUACACAUGCAAGUCGAACGGUAACAGGUUAAGCUGACGAGUGGCGAACGGGUGAGUAAUGUAUCGGAACGUGCCCAGUCGUGGGGGAUAACUGCUCGAAAGAGCAGCUAAUACCGCAUACGACCUGAGGGUGAAAGCGGGGGAUCGCAAGACCUCGCGCGAUUGGAGCGGCCGAUAUCAGAUUAGGUAGUUGGUGAGGUAAAGGCUCACCAAGCCGACGAUCUGUAGCUGGUCUGAGAGGACGACCAGCCACACUGGGACUGAGACACGGCCCAGACUCCUACGGGAGGCAGCAGUGGGGAAUUUUGGCCAAUGGGCGCAAGCCUGAUCCAGCCAUGCCGCGUGCGGGAAGAAGGCCUUCGGGUUGUAAACAGCUUUUGUCAGGGAAGAAAAGGUUCUGGCUAAUACCUGGGACUCAUGACGGUACCUGAAGAAUAAGCACCGGCUAACUACGUG